RNAcentral lists this ribosomal RNA (253 nucleotides) under uncultured bacterium. Its description in RNAcentral is "partial 16S ribosomal RNA". It matches the Rfam family "Bacterial small subunit ribosomal RNA", at positions 524 to 776 of the family's 1533-position model. The record is from RNAcentral.
UACGGGGGAUGCGAGCGUUGUCCGGAUUCACUGGGCGUAAAGCGCGCGUAGGCGGCCAAUCAAGUCAGGGGUGAAAUGCCGGAGCUUAACUUCGGAACUGCCUUUGAAACUGAUUGGCUGGAAGAUGAGAGGGGAGUGCGGAAUUUCUGGUGUAGAGGUGAAAUUCGUAGAUACCAGAAGGAACACCGGUGGCGAAGGCGGCACUCUGGCUCGUUCUUGACGCUCUGGCGCGAAAGCGUGGGGAUCAAACAGG